GUUCACAAUCUCUAGAUCUUCAGGCAUUUCACCUUUCUUAUUAAAGAUAAAAGAAAAGAAGGAAAAAGAAGAAUGUAAAAAGUAGGAAAAAGGAAGAUUGAAUGUAAUAAUUGAAAAUGGAUAAGAAUAAGAACGAAAAUGAUCAUACUCACCAGAUGUUAAGAGAUCCACAUGGCGGUCUUAUCCGGACGGAGAAGAAAAGGAAAGAGAAAGCCACUGAUCAGAAAAGACGUAAUUGGUUCCCGAGUUUUGGAAAUUUUGUCCCAGGAAGGCGUAAGCUUGAAUUUGUGUUGAAAUUCUUUCAUUUCUAGCCAUAAAACCAUUGACUGUGGACAGCAUUGACAGCCCACCCAGACAUUCUUCACAUUCAUAGUAGUAAGCAUUGAAGUAUUUACACUGUAUACGUCCUCCCCCUCUGAUGUGGUACGGAAGUGUUAUCCAGAACGGGCUUUCUUUUUGCAUUUGCACAUCA
Hyla sarda is the source of this 472-nucleotide long non-coding RNA. RefSeq lists it as uncharacterized. The record is from RefSeq and is a predicted model, not a curated record. The transcript has 5 exons. Lineage: Eukaryota; Metazoa; Chordata; Amphibia; Anura; Hylidae.